Long non-coding RNA from Columba livia (rock pigeon), 1875 nucleotides. RefSeq lists it as uncharacterized. The record is from RefSeq and is a predicted model, not a curated record. The transcript is spliced from 4 exons. NCBI's taxonomy places the organism in Eukaryota, Metazoa, Chordata, Aves, Columbiformes, Columbidae.
UGGGAAAGUAAUAAAUCUGAGUAGGCUGGACUGCUCCAGGUUUGCUGCAAGAGCUCUCAGGUCAGCAGGAGAUGGUGUGUGUAGCAACUGGAUCUGCGAUCUGGUGGAUUCUGAGCCAAGCUCCUGGAAUUAUUCAGCUGCUCAGAAUAUUGUAUUUUCCAAUGAAAAGAAGGACACUGAAGAAAAACACCUCCAUUUAUUUCCUAUCCAAGAAAAUAAAUCUUAAUGUGCAACUACCCCAUCAAGUCUGUGAAGAUAUAGUCCUGAUUCAUUGAGAGAAGGUCCCACAGAAGCCCAUCCUCUGCACCGUACAAGCAUGGGGGCAGAACUUUAGCCUCAUCCAACAACACUGAACAAACAGCAGUGAUUUACGCUUUACACACACCAAAGCAAAGACCAUGAAGUCGAAAGGCUCAGUGUGAGACUCUCCCAAGCUUCGAGCUCCCUCUGCAGCAUUUUGCAAGGAAUCGUCUUGCCUCAAGAAACCUCUAAAUUAUUUGGUGAGGAAGCGGAUCAGUCAUGGCACUCCCGUUUCUGGGAAACUUCCACUGAAAUCUGAGCGGCUCUAAUAAAUCAUUUCAAGUAAGUUUUAUUCCGAUGUGGAGCGGUUAUGAUCUGUUGACCUUGGCAAAUGCUCUCUUUGCCAAAGCCCCGGGAAUUGCUUUCAAUGGCAAUAACUGAAGGACAGCGAGUUGCUCGGGUGUUUUCAUCUGUGAACGUGUCAAAGUAGAGUUAAUGGGUCAGAUUCAGACAUAAUAAAAGCGACUACUAAAUCACUAUGCCAGGCAUUAGGAGUGAGUUUAAAAGCAUUUAAGUAAUGAUUUAUAUCUUAAUUAAGUGAUGAUUUGUAUCUCUUAGUUCCACAUUCGUUACCAAUUCAGACUCCCUUAGAAUUACAGCGAUGUGUGGAAUCACUUUCGUGUCUCCUCGUCCAUCAGUGCUGAAUCUGGCCACUGAGUUCCUGGGAACACAUGAAAAUCUCAGUUGCUGUUUGCUUUCAAUUGCAUGUCAGGGGAUAGAGAAUUAAGGUAUAAAUUAUGCAGAUUUAGACUUUCUUCGCAUCGACCUGUCUCUGAAUUCAGCCAGCUGCCAUCACCACGCACAAGCUACGCACAAUGUGAUUUUAUUCCUCUUGUUUCACAGAGUCAUCUCCCUUCCCUUGGCAAAAUUAAAAAGAGAUUUUAUUUAACUGGAUUUUAUACUUGUCACUGGGGUUUGCAUCUGCUUUCUAAAUUAAUCCACGCUUUGUAAAUACAUUUCUCCUUGGCAUCAUACCACCCUUUGCCCUUUAUGUUAAUGUUAUUUCCUUUGCUUUGAAGUCUAUUUAGGGCUGCAGCAAGAAAAUCCAUCUCUCAACCCAGGUGCAUCUCAUCCCAGCUCAAAUUCUUUGUGCCAGUUCCUCUCGCUGUUUACCCUGAGACCCUGCCACAGGCUAAUUCCCAAUUUGCAGCACUUAGGGACUACACAAAAAUCUCUCUUUUAAACAGGUUUAAUAUUUUUAUCUGAGAGACUGGGAAUAAUAUGCUCGUUAGCUGCUUUUCAAGGUGCGCAUGAUGAGAUGACGUGUCAUCUUUCCUGGAUGAGGUGUACAAAGGUGGGGAAAAUAAAAGGAGGCUGAUGGGAGUCCCAAAUUUAUUUAUUCAUAUAACCUGAUAGGAUUUUAUGGGAAACAAAUCUUGUAUUCAGUGUGAAAUACGCUGCAGAUGCACAGAUGGGCUUCAUGUGUGUAGCUAGUUCCAUGUAUCACCUUUCCUGAUCAUGUGUGAGACGAGCCCUGUGCAACAGACUGAAACAGGAUGCUGAAAACCUCAGAGUUUUAUCUCAGGAGGGUUUGUGCCCGUGGGAGUUUCAAGAAUGUUUUGGAGAAGUUGUUGC